GCACUACUGAGGAGUCCCAUAAUAGGACGAAAAGGCCAUCCAGUGC
RNAcentral lists this non-coding RNA (46 nucleotides) under Schistosoma curassoni. Lineage: Eukaryota; Metazoa; Platyhelminthes; Trematoda; Strigeidida; Schistosomatidae. The record is from RNAcentral.